This 532-nucleotide ribosomal RNA is filed under the name Bifidobacterium adolescentis. RNAcentral's name for it is "bacterial SSU rRNA". It matches the Rfam family "Bacterial small subunit ribosomal RNA", at positions 157 to 699 of the family's 1533-position model. The record is from RNAcentral. Lineage: Bacteria; Bacillati; Actinomycetota; Actinomycetes; Bifidobacteriales; Bifidobacteriaceae.
CGGGUGGUAAUGCCGGAUGCUCCGACAUGACGCAUGUCGUGUCGGGAAAGAUUCUAUCGGUAUGGGAUGGGGUCGCGUCCUAUCAGCUUGAUGGCGGGGUAACGGCCCACCAUGGCUUCGACGGGUAGCCGGCCUGAGAGGGCGACCGGCCACAUUGGGACUGAGAUACGGCCCAGACUCCUACGGGAGGCAGCAGUGGGGAAUAUUGCACAAUGGGCGCAAGCCUGAUGCAGCGACGCCGCGUGCGGGAUGACGGCCUUCGGGUUGUAAACCGCUUUUGACUGGGAGCAAGCCCUUCGGGGUGAGUGUACCUUUCGAAUAAGCACCGGCUAACUACGUGCCAGCAGCCGCGGUAAUACGUAGGGUGCAAGCGUUAUCCGGAAUUAUUGGGCGUAAAGGGCUCGUAGGCGGUUCGUCGCGUCCGGUGUGAAAGUCCAUCGCUUAACGGUGGAUCCGCGCCGGGUACGGGCGGGCUUGAGUGCGGUAGGGGAGACUGGAAUUCCCGGUGUAACGGUGGAAUGUGUAGAUAUCG